RNAcentral lists this ribosomal RNA (688 nucleotides) under Priestia aryabhattai. RNAcentral's name for it is "bacterial SSU rRNA". It matches the Rfam family "Bacterial small subunit ribosomal RNA", at positions 52 to 722 of the family's 1533-position model. Lineage: Bacteria; Bacillati; Bacillota; Bacilli; Caryophanales; Bacillaceae. The record is from RNAcentral.
UAUAAUGCAGUCGAGCGACUGAUUAGAAGCUUGCUUCUAUGACGUUAGCGGCGGACGGGUGAGUAACACGUGGGCAACCUGCCUGUAAGACUGGGAUAACUUCGGGAAACCGAAGCUAAUACCGGAUAGGAUCUUCUCCUUCAUGGGAGAUGAUUGAAAGAUGGUUUCGGCUAUCACUUACAGAUGGGCCCGCGGUGCAUUAGCUAGUUGGUGAGGUAACGGCUCACCAAGGCAACGAUGCAUAGCCGACCUGAGAGGGUGAUCGGCCACACUGGGACUGAGACACGGCCCAGACUCCUACGGGAGGCAGCAGUAGGGAAUCUUCCGCAAUGGACGAAAGUCUGACGGAGCAACGCCGCGUGAGUGAUGAAGGCUUUCGGGUCGUAAAACUCUGUUGUUAGGGAAGAACAAGUACGAGAGUAACUGCUCGUACCUUGACGGUACCUAACCAGAAAGCCACGGCUAACUACGUGCCAGCAGCCGCGGUAAUACGUAGGUGGCAAGCGUUAUCCGGAAUUAUUGGGCGUAAAGCGCGCGCAGGCGGUUUCUUAAGUCUGAUGUGAAAGCCCACGGCUCAACCGUGGAGGGUCAUUGGAAACUGGGGAACUUGAGUGCAGAAGAGAAAAGCGGAAUUCCACGUGUAGCGGUGAAAUGCGUAGAGAUGUGGAGGAACACCAGUGGCGAAGGC